Molecule: ribosomal RNA, 245 nt
Filed under: uncultured bacterium
Lineage: Bacteria
Description: partial 16S ribosomal RNA
Rfam family: Bacterial small subunit ribosomal RNA
Source: RNAcentral
AUGGCGACCGGCGCACGGGUGAGUAACACGUAUCCAACCUGCCGAUGACUCGGGGAUAGCCUUUCGAAAGAAAGAUUAAUACCCGAUGGCAUAGUUCUUCCGCAUGGUAGAACUAUUAAAGAAUUUCGGUCAUCGAUGGGGAUGCGUUCCAUUAGGUUGUUGGCGGGGUAACGGCCCACCAAGCCUUCGAUGGAUAGGGGUUCUGAGAGGAAGGUCCCCUACAUUGGAACUGAGACACGGUCCAA